AGAGUUUGAUCCUGGCUCAGGAUGAACGCUAGCGGCAGGCCUAAUACAUGCAAGUCGGACGGUAGCCGACCCUUCGGGGCCGGCGAGAGUGGCGGACGGGUGCGUAACGCGUAUGCAACCAACCCCCCACAGCGGGACAGCCGGUGGAAACGCCGGGCAAUCCCGCAUGCCGCCGUGUCGGGGCAUCCCGGCAUGGCGAAAGGCUACGGCCGGUGGGGGACGGGCAUGCGUGCCAUUAGCUGGUUGGCGGGGCGACGGCCCACCAAGGCGACGAUGGCUAGGGGAUCUGAGAGGACGGUCCCCCACACUGGUACUGAGACACGGACCAGACUCCUGCGGGAGGCAGCAGUAAGGGAUAUUGGGCAAUGGGGGGAACCCUGACCCAGCCAUGCCGCGUGAGGGAAUGGGGCCCUACGGGUCGUGAACCUCUUUUGCCGGGGGACAACGGCGGCGUCGAGAACGCCGCGUGCGGGUACCCGGCGAAUAAGCGUCGGCUAACUCCGUGCCAGCAGCCGCGGUAAUACGGAGGACGCGAGCGUUAUCCGGAUUCACUGGGUUUAAAGGGUGCGCAGGCGGCCUGCCAAGUCAGCGGUGAAAGCCCGGGGCCCAACCCCGGAAGUGCCGUUGAUACUGUCGGGCUGGAAUGCGGUCGAGGCGGGCGGAACGUGGCGUGUAGCGGUGAAAUGCGUAGAUAUGCCACAGAACGCCGAUAGCGGAGGCAGCUCGCCAGGCCUGCAUUGACGCUCGGGCACGAAAGCGUGGGGAUCGAACAGGAUUAGAUACCCUGGUAGUCCACGCCG
RNAcentral lists this ribosomal RNA (800 nucleotides) under uncultured bacterium. RNAcentral's name for it is "bacterial SSU rRNA". It matches the Rfam family "Bacterial small subunit ribosomal RNA", at positions 8 to 802 of the family's 1533-position model. The record is from RNAcentral.